Molecule: ribosomal RNA, 967 nt
Filed under: Candidatus Zophobacter franzmannii
Lineage: Bacteria; Pseudomonadati; Candidatus Cloacimonadota; Cloacimonadia (SeqCode); Cloacimonadales (SeqCode)
Description: bacterial SSU rRNA
Rfam family: Bacterial small subunit ribosomal RNA
Source: RNAcentral
AUAAUGGAGAGUUUGAUCCUGGCUCAGGACGAACGCUGGCGGCGUGGAUUAGGCAUGCAAGUCGAACGAGAACGCAUUCUUCGGAGUGUUAGUACAGUGGCGAACGGGUGAGGAACACGUAGGUAAUUUACCUUUAAGUUUGGGACAACCUGGGGAAACUCAGGCUAAUACCGGAUGUGAUCGAGAGAUUAAAGGGGGCCUCUAUUUAUAAGCUCUCGCUUAGAGAUAAGCCUGCGUCCUAUUAGCUAGAUGGUGUGGUAACGGCGCACCAUGGCGAUGAUAGGUAGGCGGCCUUAACGGGUGGCCGCCCACACUGGGAUUGAGAUACGGCCCAGACUCCUACGGGAGGCAGCAGUCGAGAAUCGUCUACAAUGGGGGAAACCCUGAUAGUGCGACGCCGCGUGAACGAUGAAACCCUUCGGGGCGUAAAGUUCUUUUCUUUGUGAGCAGAUUAUUUAAUGAGAAUAUUGUUUAAUAAUAGAUAUUAGCAAAGGAAUAAGCCACGGCUAACUCCGUGCCAGCAGCCGCGGUAAUACGGGGGUGGCAAGCGUUGUCCGGAAUCACUAGGCGUAAAGGGUAGGUAGGCGGAUUAGUAAGUCAGAUGUUAAAGGCACAGGCUCAACCUGUGUACGGCAUUUGAUACUGUUAAUCUAGAGUUAGGUAUGGGAGGACGGAAUUUCUGGUGUAGCGGUGGAAUGCGCAGAUAUCAGAAAGAACACCAAAGGCGAAGGCAGUUCUCUUGGCCAUAACUGACGCUAAACUACGAAGGUGUGGGUAUCAAACAGGAUUAGAUACCCUGGUAGUCCACACAGUAAACGAUAAACACUAGGUGUCGGGGAGAUAUAUCUUCGGUGCCGUAGCUAACGCGUUAAGUGUUUCGCCUGGGGAGUACGAUCGCAAGGUUGAAACUCAAAGGAAUUGACGGGGGCCCGCACAAGCGGUGGAGCAUGUGGUUUAAUUCGAUGCA